AUUCGCACACCGCGUAGCCCCCCCGGAACCCCUCGCGGGGGAUGGGGGAGCAAAAAACCAUUAAACGUUCUGACCUCGCUCAGUCUGAGCCACAUUUGGCGAAAUAAAUCAA
This 112-nucleotide ribosomal RNA is filed under the name Valsaria ostryae. Its description in RNAcentral is "partial internal transcribed spacer 1". The record is from RNAcentral. Lineage: Eukaryota; Fungi; Ascomycota; Dothideomycetes; Valsariales; Valsariaceae.